UGAUUGGCUUUAGGACAUAAUUCCCAAUAGAGCUUCUCUGAUAUCCAUUAAGAUGAGAAGAAUCAAUCCAUCAAUUGAUGGGGUCUUAAUCUAACUAAUUUUCUAAUUAGAUUGGGGCCUAAUUGGUUUUAUAAUUGGACUAGGACCUAAUUAGUUAGUUUGUUAUAACUAAUUCCUAAGUUAGUUAGGAUUGGGUCCAAGAAUUUGUUAGAAUUGGAACAAGAUUCAUGAGUCUUAUUUGGAACAGGACUGAACCAACCCACCA
RNAcentral lists this long non-coding RNA (265 nucleotides) under Elaeis guineensis (African oil palm). Its description in RNAcentral is "long non-coding RNA (EGUI_LNC043922)". The record is from RNAcentral. Lineage: Eukaryota; Viridiplantae; Streptophyta; Magnoliopsida; Arecales; Arecaceae.